RNAcentral lists this transfer RNA (76 nucleotides) under Clostridiales bacterium. RNAcentral's name for it is "tRNA-Val". It matches the Rfam family "tRNA". Rfam says of the family: Transfer RNA (tRNA) molecules are approximately 80 nucleotides in length. Their secondary structure includes four short double-helical elements and three loops (D, anti-codon, and T loops). Further hydrogen bonds mediate the characteristic L-shaped molecular structure. tRNAs have two regions of fundamental functional importance: the anti-codon, which is responsible for specific mRNA codon recognition, and the 3' end, to which the tRNAs corresponding amino acid is attached (by aminoacyl-tRNA synthetases). tRNAs cope with the degeneracy of the genetic code in two manners: having more than one tRNA (with a specific anti-codon) for a particular amino acid; and 'wobble' base-pairing, i.e. permitting non-standard base-pairing at the 3rd anti-codon position. The record is from RNAcentral. Lineage: Bacteria; Bacillati; Bacillota; Clostridia; Eubacteriales. RNAcentral also lists the same sequence under 1 other name.
GGUCCAUUAGCUCAGUUGGGAGAGCGACAGGGUGACAACCUGUAGGUCAUUGGUUCAAGUCCAAUAUGGGCCACCA